CGGUAAGGCCCCUUCGGGGGUACACGAGUGGCGAACGGGUGAGUAACACGUGAGCAACCUGCCUCUGACUUUGGAAUAACAGUUGGAAACAGCUGCUAAUACCGGAUAUGACUCACCUUCGCAUGGGGGUGGGUGGAAAGCUCCGGCGGUCAGGGAUGGGCUCGCGGCCUAUCAGCUAGUUGGUGAGGUAAUGGCUCACCAAGGCUUCGACGGGUAGCCGGCCUGAGAGGGCGACCGGCCACACUGGGACUGAGAUACGGCCCAGACUCCUACGGGAGGCAGCAGUGGGGAAUAUUGCACAAUGGGCGAAAGCCUGAUGCAGCAACGCCGCGUGCGGGAUGACGGCCUUCGGGUUGUAAACCGCUUUCACCCAUGACGAAGCGAAAGUGACGGUAGUGGGAGAAGAAGCACCGGCCAACUACGUGCCAGCAGCCGCGGUGAUACGUAGGGUGCGAGCGUUGUCCGGAAUUAUUGGGCGUAAAGGGCUUGUAGGCGGUCUGUCGCGUCGGAAGUGAAAACUCGAAGCUUAACUUCGAGCCUGCUUCCGAUACGGGCAGACUAGAGGGAUGCAGGGGAGAACGGAAUUCCUGGUGGAGCGGUGGAAUGCGCAGAUAUCAGGAGGAACACCGGUGGCGAAGGCGGUUCUCUGGGCAUUACCUGACGCUGAGAAGCGAAAGCGUGGGGAGCAAACAGGCUUAGAUACCCUGGUAGUCCACGCCGUAAACGGUGGGCACUAGGUGU
RNAcentral lists this ribosomal RNA (741 nucleotides) under Friedmanniella sp. H22. RNAcentral describes it as "bacterial SSU rRNA". It matches the Rfam family "Bacterial small subunit ribosomal RNA", at positions 67 to 823 of the family's 1533-position model. The record is from RNAcentral. Lineage: Bacteria; Bacillati; Actinomycetota; Actinomycetes; Propionibacteriales; Nocardioidaceae.